GGGCCCGCACAAGCGGUGGAGCAUGUGGUUUAAUUCGAAGCAACGCGAAGAACCUUACCAGGUCUUGACAUCCUUUGAUCACUCUAGAGAUAGGAAGUUCCUUCGGGACACGGGAUACAGGUGGUGCAUGGUUGUCGUCAGCUCGUGUCGUGAGAUGUUGGGUUAAGUCCCGCAACGAGCGCAACCCUUAUUGUUAGUUGCCAUCAUUCAGUUGGGCACUCUAGCAAGACUGCCGGUGACAAACCGGAGGAAGGUGGGG
RNAcentral lists this ribosomal RNA (259 nucleotides) under uncultured prokaryote. Its description in RNAcentral is "partial 16S ribosomal RNA". It matches the Rfam family "Bacterial small subunit ribosomal RNA", at positions 917 to 1178 of the family's 1533-position model. The record is from RNAcentral.